GUUAUUUUCCAGAGAAGAUAUUUGCAGCCUCACCCAAUUGAGGGAUUAGGUAUUGUUGAUUUCUCAGAGGAAUUGGAUGCUUUCAUUAUCUGAAUUUAAUCCAAGACCUCCCAUUCUUUGAAAUACUAGAGAUACAUGGGGAUCAUGGUGUAGAAUAAAGUCUCUUUCAUAUCAACUCCAAUGCCUCACUGCCCGAAACUCACACUAUAUGUGUAUUUCAAUCAAGUGGAAGCUUUGCCAGAGUGGUUGGAUUUAUCACCUUUUUCUUCUCCUCUUUGGGGUGGACACUGAACAAGCUUUAUAUGUGAAUUCUCAGGAUGUUGUUUAUCAGUAAAUGAUCAUCUUAUGCUGUUUGAAGUCUACACCAGAGUGGAUUGCCUUAGAAGAUUAAAAGAUUGCAAGAUAAUUUCAGAUGCACAGCUUCAUUGUUUUCACUGCAAUUCUGUCCUUUCAUUUCAGCCAGUGGCGAGAAUACAGAAAAUUGUUCAAACUGAGUAUAAAGCGUGUGCUUGGACUUCGGAGCCAUUAACUUUGUCCCAUGAGAAAGACAAAUAAGUUUUGAAGAUUGUUAUUGUCGCCUGUUAUUGGCUCCUUGUGGCAUAUGGAAUUGUGCCUGCUAAAGUUUAAGCAGUAAGAAUGAACAGAAACAUUAUAAGUUUGCAUCACCGACUUGAGUUCCAGCCUGGAGCAAAGAGCAGCUGUUGCUUCCGCAACUUGAGCUUUGAGCUCCAUGAAGGAAUACAACCUUCAAUUAAAGAUUGCUCAAAUGAACAAUUGAACUUGCUUUGCAAUUAGAACCAUUAGAAGAUGCAACUGGACUUGUCCAUAUUGGCAGUCCUGUGUUGCAGUUGUUCUAUGUCUUGUUAGAUGUGAGAAGGAUGUGAAAUAAUCUAGAUAAUCUUGACUGUGGACUUCCAAUAUGUAUGCUGUUAAACUUUGUAAUUGAUAUGAGACUUCGAA
Molecule: long non-coding RNA, 960 nt
Organism: Manihot esculenta (cassava)
Lineage: Eukaryota; Viridiplantae; Streptophyta; Magnoliopsida; Malpighiales; Euphorbiaceae
Exons: 5
Source: RefSeq, a predicted model, not a curated record